GGAUGAUCUUGGAGAUCUUUUCCAUGCUUGCUAAUUUUAUGUUUCCAUGAAAGGCAUCUGCUGGUGAGAGCUUUGCUGGGUGAGCAUCACUCUGCUGGACAGCAGGCAGCUGUUGUCUGUGCAGACAGCCACAUCCAUGGCGAGUGGAGGCUUUUAACCUUAACCUUGUCUUUCAUGUCUCAUGUGCAGUAAGGCAUGUUGUUAUAAAGCACCAUCGUAGGGGCAACCUUGAUUUCUGCAGCCAUCAGAGCUCUCCCCCAUGCUUCUCCCUGUGGUGUGAGACCAUAUUGGAGGCCAUGCAGAAGCCUGGUCAUAACCAUGGAACCACAGAAGCGUUACCCAGACAGAAGGAGCCUUUGUCACCUGGACUUCCUACCAAUGACACAGGCAGUGGAAGUCAGCAUCCCAAGCAUCCAUGAAACCCCUGCACAGGACUGG
Lagopus leucura (white-tailed ptarmigan) is the source of this 438-nucleotide long non-coding RNA. RefSeq lists it as uncharacterized. The transcript is spliced from 2 exons. The record is from RefSeq and is a predicted model, not a curated record. NCBI's taxonomy places the organism in Eukaryota, Metazoa, Chordata, Aves, Galliformes, Phasianidae.